GCGAUCUAUCCAUGGGCAGGUUGAAGGUUGAGUAACAUCAACUGGAGGACCGAACCCACUAAUGUUGAAAAAUUAGGGGAUGACCUGUGGAUCGGAGUGAAAGGCUAAUCAAGCUCGGAGAUAUCUGGUUCUCCCCGAAAUCUAUUUAGGUAGAGCCUCGGACGAACACCACUGGGGGUAGAGCACUGUUUGGGCUAGGGGGUCAUCCCGACUUACCAACCCCAUGCAAACUCCGAAUACCAGUGAGUGCUAUCCGGGAGACAGACGGCGGGUGCUAACGUCCGUCGUCAAGAGGGAAACAACCCAGACCACCAGCUAAGGUCCCAAAUGUUAAUUAAGUGGGAAACGAUGUGGGAAGGCUUAGACAGCUAGGAGGUUGGCUUAGAAGCAGCCAUCCUUUAAAGAAAGCGUAAUAGCUCACUAGUCGAGUCGGCCUGCGCGGAAGAUGUAACGGGGCUAAAUUAGCAACCGAAGCUGUGGCUGUGUCUUAUGACACGGGGUAGGGGAGCGUUCUGUAAGCUGUUGAAGGUGUGUUGUCAGGCAUGCUGGAGGUAUCAGAAGUGCGAAUGCUGACAUGAGUAACGACAAGGGGAGUGAAAAACUCCCCCGCCGGAAGAUCAAGGUUUCCUGUCCAACGUUAAUCGGGACAGGGUUAGUCGGCCCCUAAGGCGAGGCAGAAAUGCGUAGUCGAUGGGAAGCGCGUUAAUAUUCGUGCACUUUUUGUUAUUGCGAUGGAGGGACGGAGAAGGCUAGGCCAUCACGGCGUUGGUUGUCCGUGUUUAAGGUUGUAGGCUGGGGAUUUAGGCAAAUCCGGAUCCCUAAGGCUGAGAACUGAUGACGAGCUAACUUUUAGUUGGCGAAGUGGUUGAUGCCCUGCUUCCAAGAAAAGCUUCUAAGCUUCAGAUAACAAAGAACCGUACUGUAAACCGACACAGGUGAUCAGGUAGAGAAUACCAAGGCGCUUGAGAGAACUCGGGUGAAGGAACUAGGCAAAAUGGCACCGUAACUUCGGGAGAAGGUGCGCCACUGACGGUGAAGGAUUUACUCCGUAAGCUGUUGGUGGUCGAAGUAACCAGUCCGCUGCAACUGUUUAUUAAAAACACAGCACUCUGCAAACACGUAAGUGGACGUAUAGGGUGUGACGCCUGCCCGGUGCUGGAAGGUUAAUUGAUGGGGUUAGCGUAAGCGAAGCUCUUGAUCGAAGCCCCAGUAAACGGCGGCCGUAACUAUAACGGUCCUAAGGUAGCGAAAUUCCUUGUCGGGUAAGUUCCGACCUGCACGAAUGGCGUAAUGAUGGCGGAGCUGUCUCCACCCGAGACUCAGUGAAAUUGAAAUCGCUGUUAAGAUGCAGUGUACCCGCGGCUAGACGGAAAGACCCCGUGAACCUUUACUGUAGCUUUGCACUGAACUUUGAACCUAUUUGUGUAGGAUAGGUGGGAGGCUUUGAAGCCAUGACGCUAGUUGUGGUGGAGCCGUCCUUGAAAUACCACCCUGGUAUGUUUGAGGUUCUAACGUCGGCCCGUUAUCCGGGUUGCGGACAGUGCAUGGUGGGCAGUUUGACUGGGGCGGUCUCCUCCCAAAGAGUAACGGAGGAGCACGAAGGUUGGCUAAUCCUGGUCGGAAAUCAGGAGUUUAGUGUAAUGGCACAAGCCAGCUUGACUGCGAGACUGACACGUCGAGCAGGUACGAAAGUAGGUCAUAGUGAUCCGGUGGUUCUGUAUGGAAGGGCCAUCGCUCAACGGAUAAAAGGUACUCCGGGGAUAACAGGCUGAUACCGCCCAAGAGUUCACAUCGACGGCGGUGUUUGGCACCUCGAUGUCGGCUCAUCACAUCCUGGGGCUGAAGCCGGUCCCAAGGGUAUGGCUGUUCGCCAUUUAAAGUGGUACGCGAGCUGGGUUUAGAACGUCGUGAGACAGUUCGGUCCCUAUCUGCCGUGGGCGUUGGAGAUUUGAGAAGAGUUGCUCCUAGUACGAGAGGACCGGAGUGAACGAACCUCUGGUGUUCGGGUUGUCAUGCCAAUGGCAUUGCCCGGUAGCUAUGUUCGGACGGGAUAACCGCUGAAAGCAUCUAAGCGGGAAGCCUCCUUCAAGAUAAGAUCUCCCUGGGGCCUUGAGCCCCCUAAAGAGCCGUUGA
Molecule: ribosomal RNA, 2133 nt
Filed under: Simiduia agarivorans SA1 = DSM 21679
Lineage: Bacteria; Pseudomonadati; Pseudomonadota; Gammaproteobacteria; Cellvibrionales; Cellvibrionaceae
Description: bacterial LSU rRNA
Rfam family: Bacterial large subunit ribosomal RNA
Source: RNAcentral